GAUGAAGAACGCAGCGAAAUGCGAUAAGUAGUGUGAAUUGCAGAAUUCAGUGAAUCAUCGAAUCUUUGAACGCACAUUGCGCCCCUUGGUAUUCCAUGGGGCAUGCCUGUUCGAGCGUCAUUUGUACCUUCAAGCUCUGCUUGGUGUUGGGUGUUUGUCUCGCCUCUGCGUGUAGACUCGCCUUAAAACAAUUGGCAGCCGGCGUAUUGAUUUCGGAGCGCAGUACAUCUCGCGCUUUGCACUCAUAACGACGACGUCCAAAAGUACAAUUUUACACUCUUGACCUCGGAUCAGGUAGGGAUACCCGCUGAACUUAAGCAUAUCAAUAAGCGGAGGA
RNAcentral lists this unclassified non-coding RNA (337 nucleotides) under soil metagenome. Its description in RNAcentral is "partial contains 5.8S ribosomal RNA, internal transcribed spacer 2, and large subunit ribosomal RNA". The stretch from base 1 to 120 matches the Rfam family "5.8S ribosomal RNA", at positions 35 to 154 of the family's 154-position model. The record is from RNAcentral.